AGAACGAACGCUGGCGGCAUGCCUAACACAUGCAAGUCGAACGAGACCUUCGGGUCUAGUGGCGCACGGGUGCGUAACGCGUGGGAAUCUGCCCUUAGGUUCGGAAUAACUCAGAGAAAUUUGAGCUAAUACCGGAUGAUGACGUAAGUCCAAAGAUUUAUCGCCUAGGGAUGAGCCCGCGUAAGAUUAGGUAGUUGGUGGGGUAAAGGCCUACCAAGCCGACGAUCUUUAGCUGGUCUGAGAGGAUGAUCAGCCACACUGGGACUGAGACACGGCCCAGACUCCUACGGGAGGCAGCAGUGGGGAAUAUUGGACAAUGGGCGAAAGCCUGAUCCAGCAAUGCCGCGUGAGUGAUGAAGGCCUUAGGGUUGUAAAGCACUUUUAUCGGGAACGAAAUACCACGGGUUAAUAACCUGUGGGCUGACGGUACCCGAGGAAUAAGCACCGGCUAACUUCGUGCCAGCAGCCGC
RNAcentral lists this ribosomal RNA (470 nucleotides) under uncultured bacterium. RNAcentral describes it as "SSU rRNA". It matches the Rfam family "Bacterial small subunit ribosomal RNA", at positions 26 to 518 of the family's 1533-position model. The record is from RNAcentral.